This 281-nucleotide small nuclear RNA is filed under the name Microtus ochrogaster (prairie vole). RNAcentral's name for it is "7SK RNA (ENSMOCG00000007275.1)". It matches the Rfam family "7SK RNA". Rfam says of the family: 7SK was discovered as an abundant small nuclear RNA in the mid-70s but a possible function has only recently been suggested. Two independent studies have found that 7SK RNA binds the CDK9/cyclin T complex (known as elongation factor P-TEFb). Lineage: Eukaryota; Metazoa; Chordata; Mammalia; Rodentia; Cricetidae. The record is from RNAcentral.
GGAUGUGAGGCUCAUCUGGCUGCAGCUUGGUACCCUUUUGAUUUCCAGAGUUAAUUUGACUGAUCUCCUAAAUCUCUCACAGCUUCAUGUAUAACCACCUGAAACUUGGAGCUCAGCUCAAGAGGACAACAUUCCCCAAAUAGAGGAGAAUGAGUCUUCUGUCAAAGGUAUAAGAGUAACUACAUUCCCCUACUAGAGCCUCCAAACAAGUUCUCAUUCAUGUGAGAUGAAUUUUGAAAACUUAGUUAAUUGGUACAUAAUAAUUGUACAUAUGUAUGAGU